AGACGUCUACAUUAGAUACCCCGGUAGUCCCAGCCGUAAACUAUGCGCGUUAGGUGUAUCGGUGACCACGAGUUACCGAGGUGCCGAAGGGAAACCGUGAAACGCGCCGCCUGGGAAGUACGGUCGCAAGGCUGAAACUUAAAGGAAUUGGCGGGGAGCACCACAACGGGUGGAGCCUGCGGUUUAAUUGGACUCAACGCCGGGAAGCUCACCGGAUAAGACAGCGGAAUGAUUGCCGGGCUGAAGACUCUGCAUGACUAGCUG
This 264-nucleotide ribosomal RNA is filed under the name uncultured archaeon. RNAcentral's name for it is "partial 16S ribosomal RNA". It matches the Rfam family "Archaeal small subunit ribosomal RNA", at positions 717 to 982 of the family's 1478-position model. The record is from RNAcentral.